Molecule: long non-coding RNA, 1477 nt
Filed under: Salvia miltiorrhiza (redroot sage)
Lineage: Eukaryota; Viridiplantae; Streptophyta; Magnoliopsida; Lamiales; Lamiaceae
Description: long non-coding RNA (SMIL_LNC000622)
Source: RNAcentral
UGUAGUUCAUUUAAUUAAUAGAAGGCAGCCCAAUUUUUUUUUUAAUAAAUAAAGGCCCAACUAUUAAUUAAAACUGAGUCCAUGUUGAAUAAAUAAAAUUAGCCCAGAUUUAAAUUAAAAAAAAUCGGCCCAUAACUUAUUUAAAUAAACUGAGCCCAAGACUCAAGCCCAACACUUUAGUCCUAAAGGAAAAGACUCGGCCCAGAUGAUUUAAUUCGGCCCAAAAUAGGAGCCCAAAACCCCAAGCCCAACUCUCAACCUUUUCUCCCCCUAUUCUCUCUCUCGUCGCAGACUCACACGCACACACACGCACCCAGCGCCGCCCAACCUCUCUUCCUCUCAAGGCUCACGACACUCACAACGCAGCAGCGCGGCAUCGCCCUCAACUCCGGCGACAUCACCGUCUAGCCGCCCUCUCGUCCCUCAACGCCUUCCUCUCUCUCUCACAAAGCUCCGCCGCUGCGGAAGCUCGCCGGGGAGCAGCGGCGAUAAGCCGCCGUCACCCACUGCUCUCCCCUCUCCGUCCGUUUCCGGCGACAGCAACGACAAAAGCCGCCGCCGACCGGUGACUCCGACUCCCAUCUCUCUCCCUUGACUGCUCCUGUCACUUCCCCCUGUUCUCUCUCUCCCUCGACUGCUCCCUCAUCACUCAAAGUUCAGAUCGGCAUCGACCCUUCCCCUCUUCUUCAGCCGCCGCCCGUUAUCGCCGCCGGACUCACGGCGAGGAACCUCGCACCGCCUCGCACAGGUAAACCCCCAAAUCUCCCUUCUCUUCCUCUCAAAAUACAGAAUCUGAAAAUCUAAUUCCUCCUCCUCUCUCUUUCUUUCGUUGGCAGGAAGAGGAAAAAAAGGCGGCGCCUUUGCCGCCGUGCCGUCGCCGGCGUCAAACAGCUAUCGGCUGAACCUCACCUCCCUCUCGACUCAACAGUACAACAGGGCUCAAGACUCCAUUUUUCUUCUUUUAUAAAUCAUGCUCUGAUGUAUGAAUAUAUAUAUAUAUAUACAGAUUGUAUGCUCAUGUAUGUGACUGUCAUUUUGUUUCAAAAACUGAUACAAGAAAACUGAAUUUCCAUUUAGCAAAUAAGGUAAGGGCUCAAGAGGGAACCUUAAGAGGUUUCGUUUCAGUUGUUUGUCUUGUUGGUAUUGGUUUUGAUUCACUGCAUUAAAACUGGGCUUCAGUGGAACAACUGCAGUAAAAUUUCAGUAGGGGAUCCUUCAAUUAUUUGCAAGAUGGAGUAUGAGAGAAUGAUGAAACCAAAGUUCAAAACUUACCUAGGCAGUCGAGUUCUGUUUGAGAGGGAGUGAGCUUGAGAUUUUCUUGUUGAGAGAUGAAAUAUGUGGAAAUGAUUGUGUAGAAGCGGAAGGGAAUGAGUGAAGUAUAUCAGUGGGUGUGGGAGUAGGUAUGGUUUUUGCAGGGAGUUGGUGGUGGGAGUAGGUGGGUUGGUGGUGGGAGUAGGUGGGAGUAAUAAAAUAAAAA